CGUAGGUAACCUGCCUAUUAGAGGGGGAUAACUAUUGGAAACGAUAGCUAAUACCGCAUAACAGUAUGUAACACAUGUUAGAUGCUUGAAAGAUGCAAUUGCACCGCUAGUAGAUGGACCUGCGUUGUAUUAGCUAGUAGGUAGGGUAAUGGCCUACCUAGGCGACGAUACAUAGCCGACCUGAGAGGGUGAUCGGCCACACUGGGACUGAGACACGGCCCAG
This 223-nucleotide ribosomal RNA is filed under the name uncultured bacterium. RNAcentral describes it as "partial 16S ribosomal RNA". It matches the Rfam family "Bacterial small subunit ribosomal RNA", at positions 116 to 334 of the family's 1533-position model. The record is from RNAcentral.